CUCCCUCCAGACCCAGUGGGGUUCCUGAGGGGCUCUCUCCCUCCCCACAGCUGCAGCCCAGGCAGCAGCAGCCGCUCAGGCAGCAGCCGCAGCCAAGGCAGCCAAGUACGGUAAGUGCCCAGCCGUGCCUGUCCCCACGCCAAGGCUAGCACCCUCCCCUCCUCCCAAGCCCUGCUGUCCCGUGGCACCCAGGCUCCAAGCUCAGAGCGCUUCUCCAGCACAAGGGCAGAGCCACCUCAUGCUCAGGCCUCUGGGGCUCAAUGGCCCAGGUCAAGGUGGGGGCGGGGAGUCUCUAGCCCCAUCUUCCAAAGCCAUUCUGAACUCUUCCACCCUCUUCAAUUACCCACCACUACAAUUAUUGGGACCCUGCUCACUACCUCGACCCCAAACCAGCAAGUCGGAGGUGCCCACGCAGCCAUUCUGCUCCCUACGCCACCCUGACCCUUCGCUCUCCUAAGAACUGGGUGAUUCGAGGGACAGAGCCUGACACUCUUCACUCCUCCAGGUGCUGGAGGAGUAGGAGCAUUAGGGGGACUGGUGCCAGGAGUCGGAGAUGGAGUAGCAGGUGUGCCGGGCACAGGAGGGGUGCCAGGAGCAGGGACCCCAGCUGCUGCAGCUGCCAAAGCCGCUGCCAAAGCUGCCCAAUUUGGGUUAGGUCCCGGUGUCGGCGUGGGUCCAGGUGUCGGUCCUGGUGUUGGUCCCGGCAUCGGUCCCGGUGUCGGUCCCGGCAUUGGUCCCGGCAUUGGCAUCGGCCCCGGUGGUGUUACAGGAGUGGGGACCCCAGCUGCUGCCAAAGCCGCUGCUAAAGCGGCCGCCAAAGCACAGUACCGGGCUGCAGCUGGGCUUCCUGCUGGCGUCCCUGGAUUUGGAGUCGGUGCUGGCGUUCCUGGCUUUGGAGUUGGUGCUGGCAUUCCUGGCUUUGGAGUUGGUGCUGGCGUUCCUGGCUUUGGGGCAGGUGCAGUACCUGGAACCCUGGCUGCAGCAAAAGCAGCCAAAUAUGGAGCAGGAGGGGUCGGGGCUCUUGGUGGAGCAGGUGUCCCAGGUGGUGUGGCAGGAGCCGGACCUGCGGCCUCAGCUGCUGCUGCCAAAGCUGCUGCCAAAGCUGCCCAAUUUGGUGAGCACUGGCUGGCCCCUGGGGCUUGGUGUGGGGAGGCCUCUGACCAUGCACGGGGCCCUGAGGAGCAGUCUCCCUGGGGCCCAGCCCACACCCUGGCACCACUACACCCUGCGAGGCCCUGGGAGCUCAGGCUCUACCAGGGUCCUGCGAUGAGAACCCCACCAUCUGCAGAUAGACCUGCCAUUCCCACCAGCAGGAGUUUAACACACAGCUUCUCCACAGGCCUCGGGGGAGCCGGAGCCCUGGGAGCCGGGGGGCUCGGAGCCGGGGGAGCCAUCCCAGGGGUUGGGGGCUUCGGAGGUGAGGGUCUGCUCCGGAAUCAGAGGGUAAAGGGGGCAUGUGUGUAUGAGAGAGAGAGAGAGAGAGACUGA
RNAcentral lists this long non-coding RNA (1488 nucleotides) under Canis lupus dingo (dingo). RNAcentral describes it as "lncRNA (ENSCAFG00020012358.1)". Lineage: Eukaryota; Metazoa; Chordata; Mammalia; Carnivora; Canidae. The record is from RNAcentral.